GUGUCCUCAGUCUUCAGCUGAUUCAUGUGCAGAUAGAGAUUAGAGCUGUCCUUAGAUGCUGUGAAUCUGCCCUGCACUGACUGAGCUGAGCUCUUAGAAGAAUCUGAAUAAUAAUAAAUAAUCCAUUCAAGUCCUUUUUCAGGUGCCUGACGGAUCCAAUACAUGCUAGUGCCACUAACAGAAAACCCACUGCAGGCACAGGUCAGUUUGUAGGAACCACCUGGAGACACAACUACUGACUGUUCAGACUGUGUGAGCACAACCUGACAGUCAAUAC
Labeo rohita (rohu) is the source of this 277-nucleotide long non-coding RNA. RefSeq lists it as uncharacterized. NCBI's taxonomy places the organism in Eukaryota, Metazoa, Chordata, Actinopteri, Cypriniformes, Cyprinidae. The record is from RefSeq and is a predicted model, not a curated record. The transcript is spliced from 2 exons.